Molecule: long non-coding RNA, 290 nt
Organism: Gigantopelta aegis
Lineage: Eukaryota; Metazoa; Mollusca; Gastropoda; Neomphalida; Peltospiridae
Exons: 3
Source: RefSeq, a predicted model, not a curated record
UGACGUCAUAAUAGGUUUCACAUGACGUUUACAUGGCUUGAUCACUUUUCUUUCUGGAUUUACUAUUAAAUUACGUUUCAUCACACAGAAAGUGACAAGCAUUUACAACCAACAACAUUAAACACAGGCGCGGAUUCAAGGUCUGUGUGCUGGUCUGCUUCUUGGUGAGACGAACGACAUUUGGAGACGCCAUCUUGACCUUCACACUCGCUGACAUCCGAUUCGUCGGCAUCUUCCUCGCCAGCGCGGUUACCAUAGUUACUAGGCAGGCCCAUGUACUGGAGACCAGG